Molecule: transfer RNA, 68 nt
Filed under: Marmota monax (woodchuck)
Lineage: Eukaryota; Metazoa; Chordata; Mammalia; Rodentia; Sciuridae
Rfam family: tRNA
About the family: Transfer RNA (tRNA) molecules are approximately 80 nucleotides in length. Their secondary structure includes four short double-helical elements and three loops (D, anti-codon, and T loops).
Source: Rfam by way of RNAcentral
GGGGCUGUGGCUCAGUGGCAGAGUGCUUGCCUAGCAUGUAUGGGGCACUGGUUCAAUUCUCAGCACCA